Molecule: non-coding RNA, 345 nt
Organism: Cinara cedri
Lineage: Eukaryota; Metazoa; Arthropoda; Insecta; Hemiptera; Aphididae
Source: the annotation of a GenBank genome assembly
AAACAAUCCAGUUGGGUUUCCGAUGGUUCACGACUUUACACAUUACAUAUUAUUACAUUCGUAUAAUACACUACUAGAUUCGUAGAACUCGUAUUAGUUACAAUAAGACCGUGACGGGCAAAAUUGAAUCGUAUUCUUGAGCAUUCCGAAAUAAUGAAAAUAUCGCCAACGACAAUAAUACGAACACAUUGAAAUUAAUAUCAUUUCCGUCUGACCGUUCGUGUGAAAGUUUCAUGUCGUUUAUUACACCUGCAGUGUACAUUAUUUAUUGGCGAAACAAAUAAAAAGCGCUGUUCACAUACACCACAGUGUCUCACGAAGAUAAUGUGAUCAUAGCAAUAUCUU